Long non-coding RNA from Aethalodelphis obliquidens (Pacific white-sided dolphin), 2010 nucleotides. RefSeq lists it as uncharacterized. NCBI's taxonomy places the organism in Eukaryota, Metazoa, Chordata, Mammalia, Artiodactyla, Delphinidae. The record is from RefSeq and is a predicted model, not a curated record. The transcript is spliced from 2 exons.
GGGGCUGCGAUAAUGGGAGAGGAAGGUGGGGAGCUGAGCCGUCACAACCCAACGGGGCAGCUUCCUCCUCCUCUGAGCCACCCUGUGCCCCCAUCUCACCACGCGUUAUUAGAAAAAGACCCCACCGGGAAUUCUUCGAGACGCUUAUAUCGACAGUGAGGCCAGGGAAAGAAGGCAGCGGUGACAGCAGAGGGGAAUCAGGCUUCCCGGUCUCGACACAGGCUUUCUGCUGAGCGCCCACAGCGUGUCGGGCCCUGUGCUAAGCUCUUCAGGUACCUUAACUCGCCAGAUCACCCUAACAGCAGCUCUGCAAGCUAGGAACGGCCGUGACCCCCGUCGUACAGACAAGCAGCUGGAGACACAGAGAGGCUGCGAUCCCAGUGCAGCUCAAAAUGUGGAAAUUCCAACAACCCACGCUCAGAAGCCAGAACUGUCUUGUGUGUGCAGCAGUAAAAUUUGAGAUAAACCUUGAUUUCAAGAUGUCGAAAUCUGAGCUAUCUUCAUCUCUUGUCCUGUGGCUUUGUGAUAUAGAAGACAAAAAAAGAAAUUUCCAGUAAGAGUAUCUGAUUUGUAAUGGAAGAGAAAUUAUAAAGCGUGUCAGGGGCCCAUCGUAAAGCAAGCUUACUGCCCAGAGGAAGAAAAGUGGCUCAAGGAAGGCCAUUCGAGAAGUCAGCCUAGGUUGAUGGGAUAAAGGAAAACACUCGUCAUUCUGGGCGGAGCAGGCCAUUUUCCAUCUCCAAAUCCCUUAAUAACCAAUGCUCUACUUGCAAAGAGUUACAUUUCCUGCUCUGCUAAACAGACCCGGGGGCAGUGCAGCCUGCAGUGAAUCACAUUCUCCCAAGCUGGCCUUCUCCAUUCUGGACCUGCCCAAAGCAGACAGCAGCAAAAAGACGGUUUUAUAAGCCGAGAGGCAACUAAAGGAAACUGCUGGUUCUCCAGACAUGCCCGGCAGCAGCAGGAACAGCAGCAGCAUUAUUUCUGCCCCUUGUUCACAGGAACUAGAACCAUUUUCCACGACAGAGGAAGUUAACUCCUUACAGAGACACCAUAUCAUCUCAAAAGGAAGGUGCCUGGCCAUCUAACUAACUAACUAGUGAGGCAGUGGAGAAAAGAAGAGAAAUCUAAUUACAGUACUUGGGUUGGCUCUUGGCAUGACUGACUUGGAAACUAAAUAAAAUCUAGACAUUGUCAGGAGAGGACUACAGCCCUUUGAGCAGUCUCUCCUGAGGCACGAUCAAGCCAAAAAGAGUGAGAAGCAGCUGGUUAUUCAGCACUUCUGGUUUUCCAGCAAGUUCCUGGGACUAAAAUCACACUGACCAAACACUUCUGACCAACACUUACAUUUCAACAAAAGAAACAGACACUAGUCGUCAGGACAUAGUCUCAGAACAUUAAAUUGACGACUCUCUUUUCUAAGAUCUAAGCAGCAUUUCAUAACAUUAAAGGUGGUUCCUCCACCAAACUGAGUCCCUUGAGAAUAAAAACCAUCUUGUCUUCAGCUGUGUAGCCCCAGACAUUGUGUCUGGCACAUGGUAGGGGGUCCACAUAACUCUCUAUAAUAGGGUAGACACGUGGGGUUUGUAAACCAGUCCACAAAAUUAAAACCCUAGGUCAAUUAAAUACUCCCCUGGGUUAAAUAAGCUUAUCUCCUUUGUGGACCAGGAUCUUAAAAUUACACAUCUCAAACCUACACAUCGAACCGAAUCUGGCUCCGAGCCCUGGGUGUCAAGACAAAGCCAGUUCCACUUCCACACACUGCUGGUGGGAUAACUAAAGGGUACAGCCCCUAAGGAGGAAAACUCACCAACAUCUAUCAAAACUACCAACGCCCAUCAAUUUCUUUUCUAGGAAUUCAUCCUCCAGGUAGAUUCCUAAGCAUGCAAAAUGAAUGUACAAAGUCAUUUACUACAGCAACAGACUGGAAACAACCCAAACAUCCAGUGAUAAAGGAGCAGUUAAAUAAGGUACAGGCAGGUGAACGAAUGCUAUGCAGGUGUAAAAAAAAAAAAA